AUGUAUUUUAAUUUAAUGAUACUAUCCCAGUUCUGAGUCUUAUAAGACCUUAGAGCACUUGUUCUUAUUUCUUAGAAGUUUCCUGGUGCCAUGUGGAUAAGCAUGGCUGGAAGGGCCAAGUAUGAAGAAAGAGGCCCCAAGUCCUCCACAUAUUCCAACUGAGGCCUAACAGCCACCAGGCUGGCCAAACACCAGCUACCUGAAGAGUAAUGAGAGAACCAUGAUGCUCAUGUGCCAACGCUCCUGUGAUAGGUUUUCAUUAUGAAGUCGGAAGUAGUGUUCUCAUGAUCACUUCAAACAGACCUGGUUUUUCCACAAAUACGGAUGCCUAAAGCAUGUGUUUCAAAAUUCCUUCUUGUCCAAGUUUAACAUGACCUACUUUAUAAUAAAGCCAGAUCAAGGUUACCUCCUAGCAUCCUCGUGUCAUUAGAAAACAUGGUUUAUUUAUUUUUAUAUCAAUCCUGUAUUUCCAAAUUCCAGUAUUUUUGCCAGAGUACACUUAGUCCUGUGAAGUUAAAUUUCAUGCAUGUCAACGGUAUUUCCUCAACUGGGUAAAUAUUGAAAGGGCCGAUCCUACUUUUUGACAGAAAGUGCUAAAUGUGUUUGGUUGUCAGGUUUGACUGAAUAUUUCAAAGGGUGUCCAGAUGUUUCCAGCAGCGUCUUGAAGCCCCAAUGAGUCUCCAGCCAACUGUUGCUUUGACAAGCAGUCUCUUCUCCUGGUUGGACAUCAUGAGAAUUCUCUAAUUUUGCUCUGCAUUCCUCCUGACCCUGACAAAGCUGCAGCUCCUAACGGGGUCUCUUUCAUAAUCCAAUUUCUCUGAUUUUUCCAGAAUCAACAAGAAAGUGAUUCUUGUUACAGUUCUUCCUGAAUAGAGAGUCAAUGUACCAGGAGGUAUUAGAUAGCUUCCUCCCUAAACUUUCAAAGCUUGAUGUGAAUUCCUGCAAAGAUCACCCUGGAGUCCAGCUUCCCAAGACUUCCUCAGCCUUCUCUCUUUAAGAAACUAUCUUCCCACUCAACAGAAUUUUCUGCAGGACUGGAUGUAAUCUUUCCUUGGAAAUGAAUAAAAGAUGCAUCCAAUAAAAGCAGCAAGAAUUUGGAGGAAAAAAAGAAAGCCUGAUUUGGCAAUCACUGUGACUUCAGCAACCAGGACAUAGAACAUUAAUGCAAAUAAAUUACCUUGAGAGUUUUAAUAAUAAAUGUAACUUAUGUCAACUAAAGUAGUCAGUUAUUGAAAUGGUCAAAAUAAUAUUAAGAUAGGUUUAGCAUCAGCCUUUGAGCCAUCAAAUAACAUCUACAGCUACCUGUAUAGCAGAUCGCUAUGUACAUAUCACAAUCUAGUCCAAGUCCAUGGUUUUAAAGUUUGUUUGUUUGUUAAUGUGGCAUUUGAGGAAUUAGCUGGCUGGAAUGCAUCCCAAUAUAAACAAAAUGGAAGGAAA
Peromyscus maniculatus bairdii (prairie deer mouse) is the source of this 1437-nucleotide long non-coding RNA. RefSeq lists it as uncharacterized. The record is from RefSeq and is a predicted model, not a curated record. Lineage: Eukaryota; Metazoa; Chordata; Mammalia; Rodentia; Cricetidae.